AAACUUUCAACAACGGAUCUCUUGGUUCUGGCAUCGAUGAAGAACGCAGCAAAAUGCGAUAAGUAAUGUGAAUUGCAGAAUUCAGUGAAUCAUCGAAUCUUUGAACGCACAUUGCGCCCCUUGGUAUUCCGGGGGGCAUGCCUGUUCGAGCGUCAUU
Molecule: ribosomal RNA, 157 nt
Filed under: Sphinctrina turbinata
Lineage: Eukaryota; Fungi; Ascomycota; Eurotiomycetes; Mycocaliciales; Sphinctrinaceae
Also listed under: 1 other name
Description: 5.8S ribosomal RNA
Rfam family: 5.8S ribosomal RNA
About the family: 5.8S ribosomal RNA (5.8S rRNA) is a component of the large subunit of the eukaryotic ribosome. It is transcribed by RNA polymerase I as part of the 45S precursor that also contains 18S and 28S rRNA.
Source: RNAcentral